GAUGAACGCUGGCGGCGUGCUUAACACAUGCAAGUCGAACGGUGAAGCCCAGCUUGCUGGGUGGAUCAGUGGCGAACGGGUGAGUAACACGUGAGCAAUCUGCCCCUGACUCUGGGAUAAGCGCUGGAAACGGCGUCUAAUACUGGAUACGAGCUGCGAUCGCAUGGUCAGUAGCUGGAAAGAUUUUUUGGUCAGGGAUGAGCUCGCGGCCUAUCAGCUUGUUGGUGAGGUAAUGGCUCACCAAGGCGUCGACGGGUAGCCGGCCUGAGAGGGUGACCGGCCACACUGGGACUGAGACACGGCCCAGACUCCUACGGGAGGCAGCAGUGGGGAAUAUUGCACAAUGGGCGCAAGCCUGAUGCAGCAACGCCGCGUGAGGGAUGACGGCCCUUUCGGGUUGUAAACCUCUUUUAA
This 414-nucleotide ribosomal RNA is filed under the name Microbacterium flavescens. RNAcentral's name for it is "bacterial SSU rRNA". It matches the Rfam family "Bacterial small subunit ribosomal RNA", at positions 28 to 439 of the family's 1533-position model. Lineage: Bacteria; Bacillati; Actinomycetota; Actinomycetes; Micrococcales; Microbacteriaceae. The record is from RNAcentral.